GAUGAACGCUAGCUACAGGCUUAACACAUGCAAGUCGAGGGGAAACGAUAUUGGAAGCUUGCUUCCGAUAGGCGUCGACCGGCGCACGGGUGAGUAACGCGUAUCCAACCUGCCCAUCACUUGGGGAUAACCUUGCGAAAGUAAGACUAAUACCCAAUGACGUCUCUAGAAGACAUCUGAAAGAGAUUAAAGAUUUAUCGGUGAUGGAUGGGGAUGCGUCUGAUUAGCUUGUUGGCGGGGUAACGCCCACCAAGGCGACGAUCAGUAGGGGUUCUGAGAGGAAGGUCCCCCCANAUUGGAACUGAGACACGGUCCAAAACUCCUACGGGAGCAGCAGUGAGGAAUAUUGGUCAAUGGGACAGAGUCUGAACCAGCCAAGUAGCGUGCAGGAUGACGGCCCUAUGGGUUGUAAACUGCUUUUAUAAGGGAAUAAAGUGAGUCUCGUGAGACUUUUUGCAUGUACCUUAUGAAUAAGGACCGGCUAAUUCCGUGCCAGCAGCCG
RNAcentral lists this ribosomal RNA (502 nucleotides) under uncultured bacterium. RNAcentral's name for it is "bacterial SSU rRNA". It matches the Rfam family "Bacterial small subunit ribosomal RNA", at positions 28 to 517 of the family's 1533-position model. The record is from RNAcentral.